Molecule: non-coding RNA, 260 nt
Filed under: Clostridium disporicum
Lineage: Bacteria; Bacillati; Bacillota; Clostridia; Eubacteriales; Clostridiaceae
Description: T-box sequence
Rfam family: T-box leader
About the family: Uncharged tRNA acts as the effector for transcription antitermination of genes in the T-box leader family. T-boxes are found upstream of many aminoacyl-tRNA synthetase genes and some amino acid biosynthetic genes usually in Gram-positive bacteria. The anticodon of a specific tRNA base pairs to a specifier sequence within the T-box motif, and the NCCA acceptor tail of the tRNA base pairs to a conserved bulge in the T-box antiterminator hairpin.
Source: RNAcentral
GUUAAAGCUUUGAAGAGAAAGAGUAGAGUUAAUAGAGUUAUAAAGAGAGGUCCUGGUUGGUGAAAAGGGAAUGACAAAUUAAUUUGAAUACGUCUCUGAGCAGCACUCCGAAAGAUUACAACCAGUAGGCAGAUGUCGGAUUCGCACCUGUUAUAGUGCUAGGGUAUAACCAUAUUUUUGGCGUACCUGAAGAGGUUGUUAAUGUGAGUUAACAAUGAAAUUAGGUGGUAACACGUGAGUUUUAUGCUCUCGUCCUUUUA